Molecule: ribosomal RNA, 482 nt
Filed under: uncultured bacterium
Lineage: Bacteria
Description: bacterial SSU rRNA
Rfam family: Bacterial small subunit ribosomal RNA
Source: RNAcentral
AUUGAACGCUGGCGGCAUGCCUUACACAUGCAAGUCGAACGGUAACGGGCCUUCGGGUGCCGACGAGUGGCGAACGGGUGAGUAAUGUAUCGGAACGUACCUUUCAGUGGGGGAUAACGUAGCGAAAGUUACGCUAAUACCGCAUAUUCUGUGGGCAGGAAAGCAGGGGAUCGCAAGACCUUGCGCUGAUUGAGCGGCCGAUAUCAGAUUAGCUAGUUGGUGAGGUAAAGGCUCACCAAGGCGACGAUCUGUAGCGGGUCUGAGAGGAUGAUCCGCCACACUGGAACUGAGACACGGUCCAGACUCCUACGGGAGGCAGCAGUGGGGAAUUUUGGACAAUGGGGGCAACCCUGAUCCAGCCAUGCCGCGUGAGUGAAGAAGGCCUUCGGGUUGUAAAGCUCUUUCGGCCGGGAAGAAAUCGUAUGGGUUAAUACCCUGUGCGGAUGACGGUACCGGCAUAAGAAGCACCGGCUAACUACGUG